This 251-nucleotide ribosomal RNA is filed under the name uncultured bacterium. RNAcentral describes it as "partial 16S ribosomal RNA". It matches the Rfam family "Bacterial small subunit ribosomal RNA", at positions 528 to 779 of the family's 1533-position model. The record is from RNAcentral.
CGUAGGGCAAGCGUUAUCCGGAUUUACUGGGUGUAAAGGGAGCGUAGACGGCAGUGCAAGUCUGAAGUGAAAGCCCGGGGCUCAACCCCGGGACUGCUUUGGAAACUGUGCAGCUAGAGUGUCGGAGAGGCAAGCGGAAUUCCUAGUGUAGCGGUGAAAUGCGUAGAUAUUAGGAGGAGCACCAGUGGCGAAGGCGGCUUGCUGGACGAUGACUGACGUUGAGGCUCGAAAGCGUGGGAGCAAACAGGAUU